AGUUGUCUCAAACAGUCGCAAACUCAAUGCGCAAUGGUCAUGCGUAACCAGUCGCCGAAGCAGUGGUUUGGAAGUUUGUUACUAAACAAGCAAGAGACAUUUUUUUGAAGGUUUUUGUUCGUAAAACAUGCCAAAGAGACAAAAAAACACGACACAUGUCGAAGAACCCGAGGACAUGAUGAUGAUGAUCUGGAGGACAUCGAUGAAGGAGAAGAAAGCAAUUUCUCGGAAUGCGACUCCGAGGAGGAGCAGAACUUUUUAGCUGGGAAGGACCCUGAUUUUGAGCUUGACAGCGAUGAAGACUGGGCCCCGCCAAG
Molecule: long non-coding RNA, 317 nt
Organism: Alosa sapidissima (American shad)
Lineage: Eukaryota; Metazoa; Chordata; Actinopteri; Clupeiformes; Clupeidae
Exons: 2
Source: RefSeq, a predicted model, not a curated record